AGUGGGAUAGCUGGGUCAAAUGGUGGUUCCAUCCAAGUUUUCAAAGGAAUCUUCAUAGUGCUUUCCACAAUGAUUGCACCAAUUUGCAGCCUCACCAGCAAU
This 102-nucleotide microRNA precursor is filed under the name Marmota monax (woodchuck). The record is from RNAcentral. Lineage: Eukaryota; Metazoa; Chordata; Mammalia; Rodentia; Sciuridae.